GUUUAGAAACACCAAGGCCAGGCUCACCGCCCAGUCCUCCUGGCAGCCCACCGCCAAGUCUUCCGGGCAGCCCACCACUAGAUCGUCCAGGAAGCGCACUACCACCUAGUUCUCCUGGCAGCCCACCACCACUAGAUCAUCCUGGAAGCGCACCACCACCUAGUUCUCCUGGCAGCCCACCACCACUAGAUCAUCCUGGAAGCGCACCACCACCUAGUUCUCCUGGCAGCCCACCACUACUAGAUCAUCCUGUAAGCCCACCACCACUAGAUCAUCCUGUAAGCCCACCACCACCUAGUUUUCCUGGC
RNAcentral lists this long non-coding RNA (308 nucleotides) under Vitis vinifera (wine grape). RNAcentral's name for it is "long non-coding RNA (VVIN_LNC006430)". Lineage: Eukaryota; Viridiplantae; Streptophyta; Magnoliopsida; Vitales; Vitaceae. The record is from RNAcentral.